CCUACGGGUGGCAGCAGUAGGGAAUAUUGCUCAAUGGGGGCAACCCUGAAGCAGCAACGCCGCGUGGAGGAUGAAGGUUUUCGGAUUGUUAACUCCUUUUGUUAGAGAAGAUAAUGACGGUAUCUAACGCAUAAGCACCGGCUAACUCCGUGACAGCAGCCGCGGUAAUACGGAGGGUGCCAGCGUUACACGGAAUCACUGGGCGUAAAGAGCGCGUAGGCGGGUUAGCAAGUCAGAUGUGAAAUCCUAGGGCUUAACCAUAGAACUGCAUUUGAAACUGUUAGUCUAGAGUAUGGGAGAGGUAGGUGGAAUUCUUGGUGUAGGGGUAAAA
Molecule: ribosomal RNA, 331 nt
Filed under: uncultured bacterium
Lineage: Bacteria
Description: partial 16S ribosomal RNA
Rfam family: Bacterial small subunit ribosomal RNA
Source: RNAcentral